ACAGAAAGGCGUGAAAUUCGUUAUAAAUUGAUGCGACAGUUCAAAGUUUUGUACUUUCCAGACCUGCAUAACGAAUUACCUAUUCGAAAAAUAGAAUAUGGUUGAAAAUUGCUGAUGUGAUAGAGGAUUCAAGUACCAUUUACAAACAAAAUAUUGAAGAGAAUGUGCUCAAAGGAAAUGCAUAUGAAUUCAUUUUUGUUGACCAGGAUGGAAAAAUUCUUUGGAACCCAUAGAUAGAAUAAGUUAGUUAGGCCUAGUGGUAUACCAGCCAGAAGUAGAGGAUGACAAAGAAAUCACUAUGAAUAAUAUUCCAUGGAUAUAAUUCAUGUAUGAUGUAGUAGCCUACAGA
This 349-nucleotide long non-coding RNA is filed under the name Nilaparvata lugens (brown planthopper). RNAcentral's name for it is "uncharacterized LOC120353098". Lineage: Eukaryota; Metazoa; Arthropoda; Insecta; Hemiptera; Delphacidae. The record is from RNAcentral.